AGCGGCGGACGGGUGAGUAACGCGUGAGCAACCUACCCUUGAGACAGGGAUAACCCUGGGAAACCGGGGCUAAUACCUGAUAUACUCUAUUAGGGCAUCCUGAUGGAGGAAAGGCGAAAGCCGCUCAAGGAUGGGCUCGCGUCCCAUCAGCUAGUUGGUGAGGUAACGGCUCACCAAGGCGACGACGGGUAGCCGGCCUGAGAGGGUGGUCGGCCACACUGGGACUGAGACACGGCCCGGACUCCUACGGGAGGCAGCAGUGGGGAAUCUUCCGCAAUGGGCGAAAGCCUGACGGAGCGACGCCGCGUGAGCGAAGAAGGCCUUCGGGUCGUAAAGCUCGGUAGUGUGGGAAGAAGGGAUGACGGUACCACACGAAAGCCCCGGCUAACUACGUGCCAGCAGCCGCGGUAAGACGUAGGGGGCGAGCGUUGUCCGGAGUUACUGGGCGUAAAGGGCGCGUAGGCGGUUUAGCAAGUCAGGUGUAAAAGACCACGGCUCAACCGUGGAGGCGCACCUGAAACUGCUAGGCUAGAGGGCAGGAAAGGGGAGUGGAAUUCCCGGUGUA
Molecule: ribosomal RNA, 565 nt
Filed under: uncultured Caldanaerobacter sp.
Lineage: Bacteria; Bacillati; Bacillota; Clostridia; Thermoanaerobacterales; Thermoanaerobacteraceae
Description: bacterial SSU rRNA
Rfam family: Bacterial small subunit ribosomal RNA
Source: RNAcentral